GAUGAACGCUGGCGGCGUGCCUACUACAUGCAAGUCGAGCGAACAGACGAGGAGCUUGCUCCUCUGACGUUAGCGGCGGACGGGUGAGUAACACGUGGAUAACCUACCUAUAAGACUGGGAUAACUUCGGGAAACCGGAGCUAAUACCGGAUAAUAUAUUGAACCGCAUGGUUCAAUAGUGAAAGACGGUUUUGCUGUCACUUAUAGAUGGAUCCGCGCCGCAUUAGCUAGUUGGUAAGGUAACGGCUUACCAAGGCAACGAUGCGUAGCCGACCUGAGAGGGUGAUCGGCCACCCUGGAACUGAGACACGGUCCAGACUCCUACGGGAGGCAGCAGUAGGGAAUCUUCCGCAAUGGGCGAAAGCCUGACGGAGCAACGCCGCGUGAGUGAUGAAGGUCUUCGGAUCGUAAAACUCUGUUAUUAGGGAAGAACAAAUGUGUAAGUAACUAUGCACGUCUUGACGGUACCUAAUCAGAAAGCCACGGCUAACUACGUG
This 497-nucleotide ribosomal RNA is filed under the name uncultured bacterium. Its description in RNAcentral is "partial 16S ribosomal RNA". It matches the Rfam family "Bacterial small subunit ribosomal RNA", at positions 28 to 507 of the family's 1533-position model. The record is from RNAcentral.